Molecule: regulatory RNA element, 164 nt
Organism: Oscillibacter sp. 1-3
Lineage: Bacteria; Bacillati; Bacillota; Clostridia; Eubacteriales; Oscillospiraceae
Rfam family: M-box riboswitch aptamer (ykoK leader)
About the family: M-box riboswitch, also know as ykoK leader is described as a metaloregulatory RNA that sense divalent metals and function as a genetic control element of genes related to divalent metal transport in bacteria. It was first reported upstream of the B.subtilis ykoK gene and genes with related functions in other bacteria. Phylogenetic analysis of the distribution of M-box RNAs across bacterial genomes revealed that M-box riboswitches are most often employed for the regulation of Mg2+ transporter genes
Source: Rfam
CAUACUGUCCGGUAGGUAAGGCUACCACAAGGAUACGGGUCGCUGCCGCGGAGUGAUGGAGACAUCAUGAGAGGGUUUGAACAGGCGAUAUCGAACAGGAAGGUAUCAUCUAACGCGAUUUCAUCGCCUUGUGAGGCUAAAGCUUGAACGGUUGGGGAAGACUG